CGGACCGGCGCACGGGUGAGUAACACGUAUCCAACCUGCCGAUGACUCGGGGAUAGCCUUUCGAAAGAAAGAUUAAUACCCGAUGGCAUAGUUCUUCCGCAUGGUAGAACUAUUAAAGAAUUUCGGUCAUCGAUGGGGAUGCGUUCCAUUAGGUUGUUGGCGGGGUAACGGCCCACCAAGGCGACGAUCAGUAGCCGGACUGAGAGGUUGACCGGCCACAUUGGGACUGAGAUACGGCCCAG
RNAcentral lists this ribosomal RNA (242 nucleotides) under uncultured bacterium. Its description in RNAcentral is "partial 16S ribosomal RNA". It matches the Rfam family "Bacterial small subunit ribosomal RNA", at positions 91 to 334 of the family's 1533-position model. The record is from RNAcentral.